AUAAUAAUAAUAAUUACAACGCCGGCCCAUAGGGCCUGGCAUGGAUUAACGGGGCAAGGUGACUAGGGCGAGAGGGCCCGCCCCCCUCACGCUGACGCCUCACCACGAAAGAGUCACAACCUCCGAAACUACAACCUCCAAGUCCUAGGCCGCUCUUCAAAGUCCACUACAUCCAAGCCUGCAUACCUAGCAUAUUGAGCUAGGGAAACGCCGCAUUAUAGUAGUGGAGCACUGCCAGUUCGUGCAAACCGAGGAGCCAUGGCGCUCCUCCUCGAGCCUUGGAUCUUGAGCCUUGUCUUGAACCUUGGACCUCGCCACUAAAUCGGACUUCUGCACCACGACCAUUCUAGGUUGCAGCGGGCAUAAGCCCGCAAUUGCCACUAAGGGCAAUUACCUAUCGUUCGUGGGAUCACCAAUCGGUUUCGCACCAAUCUUUCGCCUUUUGCAUAAUUGGGCUUUUAUCCGGAUUCGUACCCGGGUCCCUUCUGCCGUAAGGACGAGUCAAAUCCCUAACUGAGUUAGCGAUCCAGUGAUAGGUGGUCCGCAGGCGGGGUGAGGACAGUGCGCCCCCAACCCCCCGCACCCCGUGGUCACCUGUGGCCGAAUGCCCUUGCCCGCCCGGUACAGCCCGCAAGGCAGGUAAGCAUGUUGCAGCCGGUACACCAGCACCUUUGCCCCCCGACUGGCGUGGCUGUCCCACAGCCUCCGCCACGUACCCCGCAGAAGGGACGCAUCCGGGGGCGGCAUGCGAGGGUCGCCCUCCACCGCCGCCGCUGCUGCCGCCGCCGCCGUGGCAGGCCCCAUGCUAGGUCCCGCCCCGCCUGCCGCCUGCUCCUGCAACCGCGCGGACCGCCGCGGCCCCUCACCCGAGUGCUGGGACGGGGACGCAUACGACUGCAGUUCUCUCGCCGGCGUGUUCUGCAGCCCGGCUGCCGCGGAGGUGCGGUGGAGCCAGGGGUCCAGAGCCACCGGGUUAUUGUGGAAAUGCUGCGCCGCCGUGGUGGUCAGCUGCGCCGCUGCACGCUGCCACUCCGCCUCCCGCUCCGCCAGCCGCGACUGUGCCACCGGCUGGGUCCCCGAACCCCCCGCCUGCUGUGCUGGCGCCGGGCACGGCAUGGCUGCGGGGCGGGCCGGAGCCGGAGGUGCGGCCGGGUUGGCCGCGGUGAUGGCCCGCCGCACGUCCCGCACCGUGUAGUCCGCCAAGCUGACACCCGCAAUCCGGCAGUGCUCCGGGUGCACCACCACCCCAGCCUCCGGCGCCAGGAAGUACGGCGCCCGAGGCCACGCCCCCGCCCGUUCCCCUGGUGAUGCUGCAUCGUACGCCGCCCGCUCUUCAAAGGUCCACAGGUGCCGCGGCUUGCGAUGCUGCAGCACACAGGCAGGCUGCCACGCCCCAUCCACCGCCGGGGGCAACACGCCAGGCCCAGGCUCCAAGAGCCGCCCUGUGUAGUGGACGUAGGACACAGCCCCCGCAGCGUUAGCCACCCACAGCUGAUCCAGGCUAACCCGCCACUGUGGCAGCGCCGCUGGCGGCUGAGUGGCUGGCUGCAGCGGAUGCUGUUCCACACCCGCGCUCCGCACGUGACCGACCGCGGCCGCCAGCCGGGCAGGCAGCCCCGCUGGCGCCGGCGCGUCGCUGUACACCCACGCCCACGUGGUGGCGGAGUCCGGGCGCACAUGAGUAAGCAGCGCCCGGGUGAGCAUCUUCCAGGGUUGCCGGCCUGGCUGGGCAAGGAGGGCGAAGGUCUUAGCUUGCAGGGCAGACAGGAACGCAGGCAGGUCGACGUGGUUGACACCCCCAUCCUUGUACGGCAGACAUGCCGUUUCCCGCUUUGGCAGCAGGAGCGGGUUCCCGUGCGACACCAGGCUGGCGUCCUCAGCGUGCAUGGAGCGCGCAGCAAAGUGGUCCACCAGGUCGGUGAGUUCCUUCAGCUGUGCAGGCGACGGGUUGAGGAAGCUGAAGUGGUAGGCCAGCUUCGCCGCCAGCACCUGCUUCGCAAUGUGCACACGGCCAACAAGAGUCAGAGACAGGGCAGCCCACAGACGCGCCACAAACGCCAUGCCGCGAGCCCGCCGGGUGUACAAGUCAGCUGCAGCCGCCUCAGAGUCCCACGACAGGGGCCGCCUUGAGGUGCCCGAGCCGCCUUGAGCUGUGCGGUGAGAAGCUGAGUGGGCAGAGCCGACAGGGUUUCAGGGGUUAGCGUGGCGGCAGUGAAACGCAGCUGCAUCACCCUGCGCAGCUCGCUGACCACCUCCCGAACCACAUGCUCCGACGUCUGCUUAGCAGGCUCGCGGGACCAGUACGCACACCAGACGGCGUACAAGAAGGUGGCCCGCAAAGUGCUCCACAGCAGCGCGCCCGCCCCCCGCGGGCCUGAGGCCCACAUACCCAUGCGGUCCCCCAGCAUGAAGCCCGCGUCCGUCACUGGCGGCGCCGCUGCCUGGGGCGCAACGCAGGCCCACAGCUGCUGCAGCCACGUCCUCGCCUGCGCAUAAGCUGGACACUCCAGGAAGAUGUGCGUCAGGCUGGCCCACGCCCGCGGGCCAGGUGGCCCGCAGGAAUAAUAAUAAUAAUAAUUACAACGCCGGCCCAUAGGGCCUGGCAUGGAUUAACGGGGCAAGGUGACUAGGGCGAGAGGGCCCGCCCCCCUCACGCUGACGCCUCACCACGAAAGAGUCACAACCUCCGAAACUACAACCUCCAAGUCCUAGGCCGCUCUUCAAAGUCCACUACAUCCAAGCCUGCACACCUAGCAUAUUGAGCUAGGGAAACGCCGCAUUGUAGUAGUGGAGCACUGCCAGUUCGUGCAAACCGAGGAGCCAUGGCGCUCCUCCUCGAGCCUUGGAUCUUGAGCCUUGUCAUGAACCUUGGACCUCGCCACUAAAUCGGACUUCUGCACCACGACCAUUCUAGGUUGCAGCGGGCAUAAGCCCGCAAUUGCCACUAAGGGCAAUUACCUAUCGUUCGUGGGAUCACCAAUCGGUUUCGCACCAAUCUUUCGCCUUUUGCAUAAUUGGGCUUUUAUCCGGAUUCGUACCCGGGUCCCUUCUGCCGUAAGGACGAGUCAAAUCCCUAACUGAGUUAGCGAUCCAGUGAUAGGUGGCCCGCAGGCGGGGUGAGGACAGUGUGCCCCCAACCCCCCGCACCCCGUGGUCACCUGUGGCCGAAUGCCCUUGCCCGCCCGGUACAGCCCGCAAGGCAGGUAAGCAUGUUGCAGCCGGUACACCAGCACCUUUGCCCCCCGACUGGCGUGGCUGUCCCACAGCCUCCGCCACGUACCCCGCAGAAGGGACGCAUCCGGGGGCGGCAUGCGAGGGUCGCCCUCCACCGCCGCCGCUGCUGCCGCCGCCGCCGUGGCAGGCCCCAUGCUAGGUCCCGCCCCGCCUGCCGCCUGCUCCUGCAACCGCGCGGACCGCCGCGGCCCCUCACCCGAGUGCUGGGACGGGGACGCAUACGACUGCAGUUCUCUCGCCGGCGUGUUCUGCAGCCCGGCUGCCGCGGAGGUGCGGUGGAGCCAGGGGUCCAGAGCCACCGGGUUAUUGUGGAAAUGCUGCGCCGCCGUGGUGGUCAGCUGCGCCGCUGCACGCUGCCACUCCGCCUCCCGCUCCGCCAGCCGCGACUGUGCCACCGGCUGGGUCCCCGAACCCCCCGCCUGCUGUGCUGGCGCCGGGCACGGCAUGGCUGCGGGGCGGGCCGGAGCCGGAGGUGCGGCCGGGUUGGCCGCGGUGAUGGCCCGCCGCACGUCCCGCACCGUGUAGUCCGCCAAGCUGACACCCGCAAUCCGGCAGUGCUCCGGGUGCACCACCACCCCAGCCUCCGGCGCCAGGAAGUACGGCGCCCGAGGCCACGCCCCCGCCCGUUCCCCUGGUGAUGCUGCAUCGUACGCCGCCCGCUCUUCAAAGGUCCACAGGUGCCGCGGCUUGCGAUGCUGCAGCACACAGGCAGGCUGCCACACCCCAUCCACCGCCGGGGGCAACACGCCAGGCCCAGGCUCCAAGAGCCGCCCUGUGUAGUGGACGUAGGACACAGCCCCCGCAGCGUUAGCCACCCACAGCUGAUCCAGGCUAACCCGCCACUGUGGCAGCGCCGCUGGCGGCUGAGUGGCUGGCUGCAGCGGAUGCUGUUCCACACCCGCGCUCCGCACGUGACCGACCGCGGCCGCCAGCCGGGCAGGCAGCCCCGCUGGCGCCGGCGCGUCGCUGUACACCCACGCCCACGUGGUGGCGGAGUCCGGGCGCACAUGAGUAAGCAGCGCCCAGGUGAGCAUCUUCCAGGGUUGCCGGCCUGGCUGGGCAAGGAGGGCGAAGGUCUUAGCUUGCAGGGCAGACAGGAACGCAGGCAGGUCGACGUGGUUGACACCCCCAUCCUUGUACGGCAGACAUGCCGUUUCCCGCUUUGGCAGCAGGAGCGGGUUCCCGUGCGACACCAGGCUGGCGUCCUCAGCGUGCAUGGAGCGCGCAGCAAAGUGGUCCACCAGGUCGGUGAGUUCCUUCAGCUGUGCAGGCGACGGGUUGAGGAAGCUGAAGUGGUAGGCCAGCUUCGCCGCCAGCACCUGCUUCGCAAUGUGCACACGGCCAACAAGAGUCAGAGACAGGGCAGCCCACAGACGCGCCACAAACGCCAUGCCGCGAGCCCGCCGGGUGUACAAGUCAGCUGCAGCCGCCUCAGAGUCCCACGACAGGGGCCGCCUUGAGGUGCCCGAGCCGCCUUGAGCUGUGCGGUGAGAAGCUGAGUGGGCAGAGCCGACAGGGUUUCAGGGGUUAGCGUGGCGGCAGUGAAACGCAGCUGCAUCACCCUGCGCAGCUCGCUGACCACCUCCCGAACCACAUGCUCCACAUGCUCCACAUGCUUAGCAGGCUCGCGGGACCAGUACGCACACCAGACGGCGUACAAGAAGGUGGCCCGCAAAGUGCUCCACAGCAGCGCGCCCGCCCCCCGCGGGCCUGAGGCCCACAUACCCAUGCGGUCCCCCAGCAUGAAGCCCGCGUCCGUCACUGGCGGCGCCGCUGCCUGGGGCGCAACGCAGGCCCACAGCUGCUGCAGCCACGUCCUCGCCUGCGCAUAAGCUGGACACUCCAGGAAGAUGUGCGUCAGGCUGGCCCACGCCCGCGGGCCAGGUGGCCCGCAGGAAUAAUAAUAAUAAUAAUUACAACGCCGGCCCAUAGGGCCUGGCAUGGAUUAACGGGGCAAGGUGACUAGGGCGAGAGGGCCCGCCCCCCUCACGCUGACGCCUCACCACGAAAGAGUCACAACCUCCGAAACUACAACCUCCAAGUCCUAGGCCGCUCUUCAAAGUCCACUACAUCCAAGCCUGCACACCUAGCAUAUUGAGCUAGGGAAACGCCGCAUUGUAGUAGUGGAGCACUGCCAGUUCGUGCAAACCGAGGAGCCAUGGCGCUCCUCCUCGAGCCUUGGAUCUUGAGCCUUGUCAUGAACCUUGGACCUCGCCACUAAAUCGGACUUCUGCACCACGACCAUUCUAGGUUGCAGCGGGCAUAAGCCCGCAAUUGCCACUAAGGGCAAUUACCUAUCGUUCGUGGGAUCACCAAUCGGUUUCGCACCAAUCUUUCGCCUUUUGCAUAAUUGGGCUUUUAUCCGGAUUCGUACCCGGGUCCCUUCUGCCGUAAGGACGAGUCAAAUCCCUAACUGAGUUAGCGAUCCAGUGAUAGG
This 5671-nucleotide long non-coding RNA is filed under the name Chlamydomonas reinhardtii. RNAcentral describes it as "long non-coding RNA (CREI_LNC001443)". The record is from RNAcentral. Lineage: Eukaryota; Viridiplantae; Chlorophyta; Chlorophyceae; Chlamydomonadales; Chlamydomonadaceae.